Molecule: ribosomal RNA, 252 nt
Filed under: uncultured Bacteroidales bacterium
Lineage: Bacteria; Pseudomonadati; Bacteroidota; Bacteroidia; Bacteroidales
Description: partial 16S ribosomal RNA
Rfam family: Bacterial small subunit ribosomal RNA
Source: RNAcentral
UACGGAGGAUGCGAGCGUUAUCCGGAUUUAUUGGGUUUAAAGGGUGCGCAGGCGGAGGUGCAAGUCAGCGGUAAAAGCCCGGGGCUCAACCCCGGCGAGCCGUUGAAACUGGCGGGCUGGAGUUGGAGAAAAGUACGCGGAAUGCGCGGUGUAGCGGUGAAAUGCUUAGAUAUCGCGCAGAACCCCGAUUGCGAAGGCAGCAUGCCGGCUCCACACUGACGCUGAGGCACGAAAGCGUGGGUAUCGAACAGG